Molecule: ribosomal RNA, 581 nt
Filed under: Escherichia coli
Lineage: Bacteria; Pseudomonadati; Pseudomonadota; Gammaproteobacteria; Enterobacterales; Enterobacteriaceae
Description: bacterial LSU rRNA
Rfam family: Bacterial large subunit ribosomal RNA
Source: RNAcentral
GGGUUGUGAGGUUAAGCGACUAAGCGUACACGGUGGAUGCCCUGGCAGUCAGAGGCGAUGAAGGACGUGCUAAUCUGCGAUAAGCGUCGGUAAGGUGAUAUGAACCGUUAUAACCGGCGAUUUCCGAAUGGGGAAACCCAGUGUGAUUCGUCACACUAUCAUUAACUGAAUCCAUAGGUUAAUGAGGCGAACCGGGGGAACUGAAACAUCUAAGUACCCCGAGGAAAAGAAAUCAACCGAGAUUCCCCCAGUAGCGGCGAGCGAACGGGGAGCAGCCCAGAGCCUGAAUCAGUGUGUGUGUUAGUGGAAGCGUCUGGAAAGGCGCGCGAUACAGGGUGACAGCCCCGUACACAAAAAUGCACAUACUGUGAGCUCGAUGAGUAGGGCGGGACACGUGGUAUCCUGUCUGAAUAUGGGGGGACCAUCCUCCAAGGCUAAAUACUCCUGACUGACCGAUAGUGAACCAGUACCGUGAGGGAAAGGCGAAAAGAACCCCGGCGAGGGGAGUGAAAAAGAACCUGAAACCGUGUACGUACAAGCAGUGGGAGCACAGAGCAAUCUGUGUGACUGCGUACCUUUUG